This 1924-nucleotide long non-coding RNA is filed under the name Sus scrofa (pig). RNAcentral's name for it is "lncRNA (ENSSSCG00050011003.1)". The record is from RNAcentral. Lineage: Eukaryota; Metazoa; Chordata; Mammalia; Artiodactyla; Suidae.
GCCACGUGCUCCAUCAGGUCGGAGCGGAUGGGCACCUUCGCCCCAAACGCGUGACCGGUCCCAGGCCCCCCCGACCCCCAGGGGGACGUUGGCUCGCGGCGUCCGGCCCCGCCCUGGGGCGGUAACGAAGCUGCGGGAGCCGAGACUUCGGGGACCGCUCCCCUUCUUGCAGCCGGAGCUGGGACGGAGGAGGCCGAACGCAGGCAUCGGAAUCGGGAUGAGGGGCAGUAGGAGGCGCUGCCCCCCACGGGUUUUCUCAGAAAGUGAGAGCUCUCCAGGCGCUGGCGUUUGGAUGAAGGCGAGCUACCUACCUUUGGCACCUCUUCGCCGACGGUGAGAGUUUUCGGAGCGACCUCAGUCUGGGGGGCCGAGAGGAAACAUCCGGGCCAGGCCCACCUGUGAGUGACGGCAGGUGGAAGAAAUGAACACAUCCCUCCCCUCCGGACCCCGCCGGCCGGAACCAGGGGAUGUUGGACGUGGCUCCCUCCCCUCUUAAUAUAAAAGACACCUGACCUCUAACGCAGGACCAUGGGGACUUCAGGAGCCACCACGCCACCCGUUGGCUGGAGCAGCGUCAUUCCCACGGGGACUCACCUCCUGACACACAACAGAAGCGGGCUUGCUGGGGCUCCUCCUCAGCUCUGAGUAUCACUCGGCGGGAAAAUGUGGGUCCCCACCUGCACGUGUCAAAUCCCCACGGGGUCCAAGAGCCAGCUCUCGAAAUCACCUUGUAGCUCCGAGAACCCAAGCCACCUCUUCCUUGUUAUUUUGCUAGAUUGUGCCAGAAAGAGGUGAGAGAGAGAGACCAACAGAGCGGGUGGGGGAAAGAGACGGACAGUACGAAGGAAGGACCCUCAAGAUAAGAAAAGAAUUCGGAGUCCCAUUUUUGUCUCUCUAGAGGUUCUCAUUUUUCAGGUUGCCACAGGGACGCUGGUGGAUGUCAGCUCUCGCGUGCAAACCCAAUUCUCCCUGAUCCCACAGCGCCUGGGCCCCGUGACAGCCUGAGUAUGGGGACGUGUCACCCAUUUGUCCUUCUGACCAGGCUCCUGCCACACACCACCCAUCAGCCAUGGUUGGGGGGAGCAGUGUUUUCAGCCCCCCCCACGUGCCUUCUCUCUCCACCUGCUCCACGUUCCUCUGCAGACAGGAUGUGGUGGGAGGGGCCCCCGUUGGGCCCCUUUGCCUCCUCCGUCCCUUUGCCUUGGGUGUCUCUGGGGUCCUUCGAGCUUAGACUGUCCUGAGGCUGAUGGCCUUAGAAUGACUUCCUAGUGACCCCCGUCAAGUUGUUCUGGAAUUCUCCUUUAUUCUGGUGGGGGGGGCGGGGGCGGAGACAAAGGGGGACAGGGGAGCUGAGCCUCCAGGCCCUCUGAUUCCGCACUUCAAGGGUGCAAAGGAAGAGGAACCGGGGAAGCAGAGUGGUCAGGCUGGCUUCUGCAGAUGAUGGGGGAAUGAGGACGCAGGUGCUGCGGGGGCGCUGGGGGAGGCAUGGCGUGGGGAGGGGCACCUGUGGGCCAGGUGCACCAGGGACCCUCUGUGCCUCCCCUGCCUCUGCGUCUCCUACCCGCUUCCUGCCAAACCUCUUUGAUCCCCCUGCCCCGUUCCCCCCCCCCAACCCCACGGGGUCUGCACGGUGGCCGCAGCAGCCUGCGUGGGAAGGGGGUUAUCGGUCCACAGCGCGCCAGCCGCUGGCAUCUUUUAUGGGAUUCCGAAACCGUGGCGAGAGGAGGGACAUUUUUCUGCCGAGCUUCCCCCAGGAGAAAGAGAGGGGAAAAAAAAAAAAAGAGGAAUGGGAGAGAUGAAAAGCCUUUUUCCUCCUUCUCAAAUUGGAACCGGACUUCAGAUGAAAAUGCUGCACCUUGAGGGUUGUGAUAAGAUGGAGAAAACCGCUCUCGAAGCGUCUGAGGCAGCGUCUCUCUCUUAUCUU